Molecule: ribosomal RNA, 117 nt
Organism: Danio rerio (zebrafish)
Lineage: Eukaryota; Metazoa; Chordata; Actinopteri; Cypriniformes; Danionidae
Source: Ensembl
UGUGACAGCCGUAUCAUCCUGCAGCACAAGACCAGUUACUCAGUGAAGCUAAGCAGGGCUGAGCCUGGUUAGUACCUGGAUGGGAGACCACAUGGGAAAACUAAGUUGCUGUUGGAA